GCGGUACCGGUUCACGCCACUUGUUCGAACUAGGCGACCCGGCGACC
RNAcentral lists this non-coding RNA (47 nucleotides) under unclassified sequences. RNAcentral's name for it is "L31-Actinobacteria ribosomal protein leader". It matches the Rfam family "L31-Actinobacteria ribosomal protein leader". The record is from RNAcentral.